AGAGUUUGAUCAUGGCUCAGAACGAACGCUGGCGGCGUGGAUAAGACAUGCAAGUCGAGCGCUGAUUGCCGGGUAGCAAUAUUCGGCAGUCGGAGCGGCGCAAGGGUGCGUAACACGUGGGUAAUCUGCCAUGAAGUUUGGAAUAACUUGCUGAAAGGCGAGCUAAUGCCGGAUGUGACCGUUGGGAGGCCUCUCCCGAUAGUUAAAGCUGGGGACCGUAAGGCCUGGCGCUUCAUGAUGAACCCGCGGCCUAUCAGCUAGUUGGUGAGGUAACGGCCCACCAAGGCUAAGACGGGUAGCUGGUCUGAGAGGACGACCAGCCACACUGGAACUGAGACACGGUCCAGACACCUACGGGUGGCAGCAGUCGAGAAUUUUUCACAAUGGGCGCAAGCCUGAUGGAGCGACGCCGCGUGGGGGAUGAAUGGCUUCGGCCCGUAAACCCCUGUCAUUCGCGAUCAACCCUUAUUAUUUAAAAGAUGAUAAGCUGAUAGUAGCGGAAGAGGAAGGGACGGCUAACUCUGUGCCAGCAGCCGCGGUAAUACAGAGGUCCCAAGCGUUGUUCGGAUUCACUGGGCGUAAAGGGUGCGUAGGUGGUGAGGUAAGUCGGAUGUGAAAGCUCGGAGCUCAACUCCGAAAUGGCAUUGGAAACUACCUCGCUCGAGGGUUGGAGGGGGGACUGGAAUGCUUGGUGUAGCAGUGAAAUGCGUAGAUAUCAAGCGGAACACCAGUGGCGAAGGCGAGUCCCUGGACAACUCCUGACACUGAGGCACGAAAGCUAGGGGAGCAAACAGGAUUAGAUACCCUAGUAGUCC
RNAcentral lists this ribosomal RNA (815 nucleotides) under uncultured bacterium. Its description in RNAcentral is "bacterial SSU rRNA". It matches the Rfam family "Bacterial small subunit ribosomal RNA", at positions 8 to 796 of the family's 1533-position model. The record is from RNAcentral.